This 441-nucleotide ribosomal RNA is filed under the name uncultured bacterium. RNAcentral describes it as "partial 16S ribosomal RNA". It matches the Rfam family "Bacterial small subunit ribosomal RNA", at positions 338 to 795 of the family's 1533-position model. The record is from RNAcentral.
CCUACGGGCGGCAGCAGUGGGGAAUAUUGCACAAUGGGGGAAACCCUGACGCAGCAACGCCGCGUGGGUGAUGAAGCGCUUCGGCGCGUAAAGCUCUGUCAGCGGGGAAGAAGAAUGACGGUACUCGUCCACGGUGCCUUGGCUAACCACGCGCCAGCAGCAGCGGUAAUACGGAGGGGGCGAGCGUUAUCCGGAAUUACUGGGGGUAAAGGGAGCGUAGGCGGUGUGGUAAGCCAGCAGUGGAAGCCCGCGGCCCAACCGCGGAACUGCUUUGGAAACUGGUUUGCUGGAGUGUGGGAGGGGAGAGUGGAAUUCCUGGUGUAGCAGUGAAAUGCGUAGAUAUCAGGAGGAACACCAGUGGCGAAGGCGACUUACUGGAACAUAACUGACGUUGAGGCGCGAAAGCGUGGGGAGCAAACAGGAUUAGAUACCCUAGUAGUC